RNAcentral lists this transfer RNA (89 nucleotides) under Vitis vinifera (wine grape). It matches the Rfam family "tRNA". Rfam says of the family: Transfer RNA (tRNA) molecules are approximately 80 nucleotides in length. Their secondary structure includes four short double-helical elements and three loops (D, anti-codon, and T loops). The record is from Rfam by way of RNAcentral. Lineage: Eukaryota; Viridiplantae; Streptophyta; Magnoliopsida; Vitales; Vitaceae. RNAcentral also lists the same sequence under 1 other name.
GGGGUGGUGGCGCAGUUGGCUAGCGCGUAGGUCUCAUAGCUAUUAUUUGAGUUAUCCUGAGGUCGAGAGUUCGAGCCUCUCUCACCCCA